RNAcentral lists this ribosomal RNA (253 nucleotides) under uncultured bacterium. RNAcentral describes it as "partial 16S ribosomal RNA". It matches the Rfam family "Bacterial small subunit ribosomal RNA", at positions 524 to 776 of the family's 1533-position model. The record is from RNAcentral.
UACGUAGGGUGCGAGCUUUAAUCGGAAUUACUGGGCGUAAAGCGUGCGUAGGCGGUUGGCAAAGUCAGCUGUGAAAGCCCCGGGCUUAACCUGGGAAUGGCGGUUGAAACUAGUCGACUCGAAUCUGGCAGAGGGGGGUGGAAUUCCACGUGUAGCAGUGAAAUGCGUAGAGAUGUGGAGGAACACCGAUGGCGAAGGCAGCCCCCUGGGCUGAGAUUGACGCUCAGGCACGAAAGCGUGGGGAGCAAACAGG